UGCCAGCAGUCGCGGUUACACCAAGAAGUUAAGUCAUAUUUUAUAGGUAAAAAGACAGUUAAAUUUAUUUAAUAAAUUAUAUAACUCUUUAUAAAGAAGUAAAAUUCAAAUAUAAAGAUUUAAUCUUAUAAUAAUUUGUAAAUUGAAGCUGUGAAAUCCUUGAGGGAAACUGGGAUUAGAUACCCCAUUAUUCUUGGUUAUAAAUUAAUAAAUUAUUUACCAGAGUACUAUGAAUACUAAAAAAUUUAAAACUCAAAGGGCUUGGCGGUGUUUUAGACUACUCAGGGGAACCUGUCUCAUAAUCGAUAAUCCACGUUAAACCUGACCUCUUUUUGCAAUCAGCUUGUAUACCGUUGUCGUCAGGUAACUUUUUAGAAACUAAAAGUUAGCUACUAGUCUUAAGCUAAAACGUCAAAUCAAGGUGCAGUUAAUAAAGAGGGGAGGAUGGGUUACAAUUAUAGAAUUAUAAUAACGGAAAGCUAUCAGAACUGAAGCUAUAAAGGAGGACUUGAAAGUAAAAUAAAUUAUAUAAAUAUCUUGAAUACAGCUCUGAAAUGUGCACACAUCGCCCGUCGCUCU
Molecule: ribosomal RNA, 579 nt
Filed under: Zonulispira sp. MW-2011
Lineage: Eukaryota; Metazoa; Mollusca; Gastropoda; Neogastropoda; Turridae
Description: partial 12S ribosomal RNA
Source: RNAcentral